CUAGAGGAAGGCAUGCGUCCUUCCCAAAGCUGCACGCUUGGUUGAAGAGGAUGACCUUCCCCGAUAGAGGUAUCCUGCUCAUCGGUCAAGGGGGG
This 95-nucleotide small nuclear RNA is filed under the name Buceros rhinoceros silvestris. RNAcentral describes it as "7SK RNA". The stretch from base 14 to 73 matches the Rfam family "7SK RNA", at positions 112 to 171 of the family's 331-position model. From Rfam's summary of the family: 7SK was discovered as an abundant small nuclear RNA in the mid-70s but a possible function has only recently been suggested. Two independent studies have found that 7SK RNA binds the CDK9/cyclin T complex (known as elongation factor P-TEFb). Lineage: Eukaryota; Metazoa; Chordata; Aves; Bucerotiformes; Bucerotidae. The record is from Rfam by way of RNAcentral.